This 398-nucleotide long non-coding RNA is filed under the name Vitis vinifera (wine grape). RNAcentral's name for it is "long non-coding RNA (VVIN_LNC002921)". Lineage: Eukaryota; Viridiplantae; Streptophyta; Magnoliopsida; Vitales; Vitaceae. The record is from RNAcentral.
UUUAUUUUAAAGGGAAAAUAAAACAAGAAAGAAAAACCCUAAAAAGUGACUCCAUAGUUUUGGAAAAAGCAUGUCUUUGAGAAACCCGAGUCUAGGUCCGGGGAUCAGGUUACUUAUUGGGAAGGUACCUCUAGGAGGUAGCACCCCUCUAAGCCCUCUAAAGGUCUCUACUGACAAAGUUAAGGGAAGUGUGACCAUUAAUCAGUUAAUUAUGGAUACCUAAGUAGGCUAGGUGAUUUUAAAGAGUGGCAUGCCAAACACAAUCAAAUUGCAAUAAAAGAGAGUUAGGGUGCGUACCUGAAUCGCUCUUCAAGCGCUAUCAUAAAACAUAAAAGUUAGUGUAGAAAUGUAGCACACAACAUUUGUUUUAUUCAAGCAAAUCAAGCAUAUAUCAAAAC